This 73-nucleotide transfer RNA is filed under the name Bacteroidota bacterium. Its description in RNAcentral is "tRNA-Lys". It matches the Rfam family "tRNA". From Rfam's summary of the family: Transfer RNA (tRNA) molecules are approximately 80 nucleotides in length. Their secondary structure includes four short double-helical elements and three loops (D, anti-codon, and T loops). RNAcentral also lists the same sequence under 7 other names. Lineage: Bacteria; Pseudomonadati; Bacteroidota. The record is from RNAcentral.
GAUUGGCUAGCUCAGUUGGUAGAGCAUCUCCCUUUUAAGGAGAGGGUCCUGGGUUCGAGACCCAGGCCAAUCA